This 148-nucleotide non-coding RNA is filed under the name Chlorocebus sabaeus (green monkey). The record is from Rfam by way of RNAcentral. Lineage: Eukaryota; Metazoa; Chordata; Mammalia; Primates; Cercopithecidae.
GCUGGGCGUGGUGGCGGGUGCCUGUAAUCCCAGCUAUUCGGGAGGCUGAGGCGGGAGAAUUGCUUGAACCCAGGAGGCAGAGGUUGCAGUGAGCCGAGAUUAGGCCACUGCACUCCAUCCUGGGUGACAGAGCGAGACUCCAUCUCAA